AAGCUGCCUGAAUUAAAGGCCUGCAGCUUCUGCAUGAAUAAAUGCUGCUUGCUCAUUCUGUAGUGCUCCAGGAAGAGAUGUGCAAAGUUGUUACCUUCCUGCUAUUCCAAUGUACAACAGCUAAGUCUCUUUUAUCCUUAGGAAAACUACAAGUUUGAGCAAGGUAGGUAUAUACAAAUACUAGAACUCGGCUGGAGGAAAAGAAAUCUUCAUGGAGAGAAGUGGAAACAAAACAUCCAGUCCCCACCAAAGGCUCCCAAAUCCAAGGUUUAACUGUGUAAUGGGACUUCCUUUUAGGAAUUGUCUUCUGAUCAUGAAGUUAUUGCUUAAAGUCUGAGCCAUGAACUGUCUACAAGUAGAAAGGAUCAUAAAGGCAAGAGCAGCAGCAUUCUUGCUUUGAACCUGCAGACAAGACAGGAGAAGCUAAAUUACCACUGCAAAGAGAAAGUAGAAAGAAUAUUCUCAAUUUGUUUUAGUUUAAAUUCUUCUCAGCAAACCAUAGGGCUAUAAAACUAAAAAUCAAAAAAUUAAAAAGGAGAUUGCAAUUAAGACUCUAUGAACAGCUGACUAAUGUAAAUAUUUCAGAGAAUACGAUUCCCAGAGAUACAUUUGGGCACAUCAGUUGGGUUGAAUAGCUGUUUAUUUGUAAUUUGUUUUCUUUCAGUCACUUAAGUGAAAAAUUGGAAUGCAUAUUUUGGAAGGAAGGAGAUUUGUGUAAAAUUUG
This is a long non-coding RNA of Bos taurus (domestic cattle), 724 nucleotides long. The record is from Ensembl. Lineage: Eukaryota; Metazoa; Chordata; Mammalia; Artiodactyla; Bovidae.